RNAcentral lists this ribosomal RNA (201 nucleotides) under Triticum aestivum (bread wheat). Its description in RNAcentral is "partial small subunit ribosomal RNA". Lineage: Eukaryota; Viridiplantae; Streptophyta; Magnoliopsida; Poales; Poaceae. The record is from RNAcentral.
AUGGAUCCGGGUGGGAUGCUGCUGGAGGACUUCGGGCUGUGGGUGGACCUGGUGCGGCGCAUCCGCGAGGUGCUGGCCAACUACCCGGAGGGCACCACCGCGCUGCGGGACGCCGGGAGCUCAUCCAGAACGCCGACGAUGCCGGGGCCUCAUGCAGAGCGAGUACUGGGCGAGGAGAUGAACCUAGGCGAGCAAAAUUGA